CGCGCAGGCUGUAGAUCAAGUCAGCUGUGAAAUGUCUGGGCUUAACCCCGGGCAUGCGGUUGAAACUGAUGUACUGGAGUGCUGUAGAGGCAAGUGGAAUUCCCAGUGUAGCGGUGAAAUGCGUAGAUAUUGGGAAGAACACCGGUGGCGAAGGCGACUUGCUGGGCAGCAACUGACGCUGAGGCGCGAAAGCCAGGGGAGCAAACG
Molecule: ribosomal RNA, 207 nt
Filed under: uncultured Synergistaceae bacterium
Lineage: Bacteria; Thermotogati; Synergistota; Synergistia; Synergistales; Synergistaceae
Description: partial 16S ribosomal RNA
Rfam family: Bacterial small subunit ribosomal RNA
Source: RNAcentral